Molecule: ribosomal RNA, 460 nt
Filed under: uncultured bacterium
Lineage: Bacteria
Description: partial 16S ribosomal RNA
Rfam family: Bacterial small subunit ribosomal RNA
Source: RNAcentral
CCUACGGGUGGCAGCAGUGAGGAAUAUUGGUCAAUGGACGCAAGUCUGAACCAGCCAUGCCGCGUGCAGGAAGACGGCCCUAUGAGUUGUAAACUGCUUUUGUACGAGGGUAAACGCCGAUACGUGUAUCUUUCUGCAUGUAUCGUACGAAUAAGGAUCGGCUAACUCCGUGCCAGCAGCCGCGGUAAUACGGAGGAUUCAAGCGUUAUCCGGAUUUAUUGGGUUUAAAGGGUGCGUAGGCGGUAGGGUAAGUUAGAGGUGAAAGCUCGAGGCUCAACUACGGAAUUGCAUUUGAUACUGUGAGGCUAGAGAGUAGUUGCGGUAGGCGGAAUGUAUGGUGUAGCGGUGAAAUGCUUAGAGAUCAUGCAGAACACCGAUUGCGAAGGCAGCUUACCAAACUGCAUCUGACGUUGAGGCUCGAAAGCGUGGGGAGCAAACAGGAUUAGAUACCCCGGUAGUC